GCGCUUGCUUCGGCAGCACAGACACUAAACCGGAGCAAGACAGAGGAGAGAGGCGUGGCCCUGUGCAAGGAUGGCGUACAAAUCCAUGAAGUGCCCCAUAUUACA
This 105-nucleotide small nuclear RNA is filed under the name Vicugna pacos (alpaca). The record is from RNAcentral. Lineage: Eukaryota; Metazoa; Chordata; Mammalia; Artiodactyla; Camelidae.